This is a long non-coding RNA of Mirounga angustirostris (Northern elephant seal), 604 nucleotides long. RefSeq lists it as uncharacterized. The transcript is spliced from 3 exons. Lineage: Eukaryota; Metazoa; Chordata; Mammalia; Carnivora; Phocidae. The record is from RefSeq and is a predicted model, not a curated record.
AGCUCCUGAGACCCAGAGCAGAGAACUGAGCCACAGCAUGUCCAGACUUAGGACCUACAGAACCUCUGAGAGCCCCAAUAAAGAUAUAUUUCCCUAGACUCCUUCUAUCCAGGCUGGCCAGUUGCAUGGGAUCCAGCUCAGGAGUCUGAUUACCUGGUGAAUGGUGGCAAAGAAAGGUAAAAAAAAAGCAACAAUCUCUGAAAUUACCUUUUGAAAGGGAGCUGUUCAGGAGAAUCAUCCAAUAAGAAACAUCACAUUGGACUUUGUACUGGUUAGGAAAAACUUCUGUGUGUAUGUGUGUGUGUAUACAUAUAUGUGUGCAUGUAUAUACAUACCACAUAUAUACACACUUUUAUUUAUGACAAGUCACUGAGAUUUUGGGUAGGCAUUAAUUUUGGUAAGAAUUAUAGAAACUGAUACUUUGAAGUAGUGUGUUCCUAUAACAGCAAGAACACUGAUAUCAGAUUCUGGAAAAAUCACUAUCUAACAAUAGAAAUAGUAGAAAACAAUAUUGGCAAAAUGGUUGCCUGUAGUAAUUUGGGAGGCAGAUUAUAGGGAUACUGAUCUGUUAACUGUAGAUAGGAAAGAAACGGAAUAGUGUAUG